GAUGAAGAACGUAGCGAAAUGCGAUACGUAAUGUGAAUUGCAGAAUUCAGUGAAUCAUCGAAUCUUUGAACGCAUAUUGCGCUCUCUGGUAUUCCGGAGAGCAUGCUUGUUUGAGUAUCAGUAAACACCUCAACUUCCAUAUCUUUUUUGAAAUGGGAGUUGGACUUGAGUGAUCCCAACGCUUUUCCUCACCGAAAAGUGGCGGGUUACUUGAAAUGCAGGUGCAGCUGGACUGUUCUCUGAGCUAUAAGCAUAUCUAUUUAGUCUGCCUAAAAACAGAUUAUUACCUUUGCUGCAGCUAACAUAAAGGAGAUUAGUUCUUGUGCUGACUGAUGCAGGAUUCACAAAGACAGGCUUCGGCCGACUUUGUAAACUCGAUCUCAAAUCAAGUAAGACUACCCGCUGAACUUAAGCAUAUCAAUAAGCGGAGGA
This 432-nucleotide unclassified non-coding RNA is filed under the name soil metagenome. Its description in RNAcentral is "partial contains 5.8S ribosomal RNA, internal transcribed spacer 2, and large subunit ribosomal RNA". The stretch from base 1 to 120 matches the Rfam family "5.8S ribosomal RNA", at positions 35 to 154 of the family's 154-position model. The record is from RNAcentral.